RNAcentral lists this transfer RNA (75 nucleotides) under Desulfovibrionaceae bacterium. RNAcentral describes it as "tRNA-Cys". It matches the Rfam family "tRNA". From Rfam's summary of the family: Transfer RNA (tRNA) molecules are approximately 80 nucleotides in length. Lineage: Bacteria; Pseudomonadati; Thermodesulfobacteriota; Desulfovibrionia; Desulfovibrionales; Desulfovibrionaceae. The record is from RNAcentral.
GGCGACAUAGCCAAGCGGUAAGGCAGAGGUCUGCAAAACCUUUAUUCUCCAGUUCAAAUCUGGAUGUCGCCUCCA